GAUGAACGCUGGCGGCGUGCCUAAUACAUGCAAGUCGAGCGAAUGGAUUAAGAGCUUGCUCUUAUGAAGUUAGCGGCGGACGGGUGAGUAACACGUGGGUAACCUGCCCAUAAGACUGGGAUAACUCCGGGAAACCGGGGCUAAUACCGGAUAACAUUUUGAACCGCAUGGUUCGAAAUUGAAAGGCGGCUUCGGCUGUCACUUAUGGAUGGACCCGCGUCGCAUUAGCUAGGUGGUGAGGUAACGGCUCACCAAGGCAACGAUGCGGAGCCGACCUGAGAGGGUGAUCGGCCACACUGGGACUGAGACACGGCCCAGACUCCUACGGGAGGAAGCAGUAGGGAAUCUUCCGCAAUGGACGAAAGUCUGACGGAGCAACGCCGCGUGAGUGAUGAAGGCUUUCGGGUCGUAAAACUCUGUUGUUAGGGAAGAACAAGUGCUAGUUGAAUAAGCUGGCACCUUGACGGUACCUAACCAGAAAGCCACGGCUAACUACGUGCCAGCAGCCGCCGUAA
Molecule: ribosomal RNA, 515 nt
Filed under: uncultured bacterium
Lineage: Bacteria
Description: partial 16S ribosomal RNA
Rfam family: Bacterial small subunit ribosomal RNA
Source: RNAcentral